GACGAACCGAGCGAACGUUAUUCGGAAUCACUGGGCUUAAAGGGCGCGUAGGCGGGUGUUCAAGUCCGUGGUGAAAUCCUCCAGCUUAACUGGAGAACUGCCGCGGAUACUGGGCACCUAGAGGAAGGUAGGGGCAUCUGGAACUGAUGGUGGAGCGGUGAAAUGCGUUGAUAUCAUCAGGAACUCCGGUGGCGAAGGCGAGGUGCUGGCCCUUUUCUGACGCUGAGGCGCGAAAGCCAGGGGAGCAAACGUG
Molecule: ribosomal RNA, 253 nt
Filed under: uncultured bacterium
Lineage: Bacteria
Description: partial 16S ribosomal RNA
Rfam family: Bacterial small subunit ribosomal RNA
Source: RNAcentral